UUAUUUGAGAGUUUGAUCCUGGCUCAGGAUGAACGCUGGCGGCGUGCCUAACACAUGCAAGUUGAGCGAUUUACUUCGGUAAAGAGCGGCGGACGGGUGAGUAACGCGUGGGUAACCUACCCUGUACACACGGAUAACAUACCGAAAGGUAUGCUAAUACGGGAUAACAUAUUUGAGAGGCAUCUCUUGAAUAUCAAAGGUGAGCCAGUACAGGAUGGACCCGCGUCUGAUUAGCUAGUUGGUAAGGUAACGGCUUACCAAGGCGA
RNAcentral lists this ribosomal RNA (266 nucleotides) under Clostridioides difficile. RNAcentral describes it as "partial 16S ribosomal RNA". It matches the Rfam family "Bacterial small subunit ribosomal RNA", at positions 1 to 276 of the family's 1533-position model. The record is from RNAcentral. RNAcentral also lists the same sequence under 1 other name. Lineage: Bacteria; Bacillati; Bacillota; Clostridia; Peptostreptococcales; Peptostreptococcaceae.